RNAcentral lists this ribosomal RNA (446 nucleotides) under uncultured bacterium. RNAcentral's name for it is "partial 16S ribosomal RNA". It matches the Rfam family "Bacterial small subunit ribosomal RNA", at positions 338 to 795 of the family's 1533-position model. The record is from RNAcentral.
CCUACGGGUGGCAGCAGUAGGGAAUUUUCGGCAAUGGGGGGAACCCUGACCGAGCAACGCCGCGUGAACGAAGAAGUUAUUCGUAAUGUAAAGUUCUUUUAACAGGGAAGAAAGAGAAAUUUGACGGUAACCAAUGAAUAAGCUCCGGCUAACUACGUGCCAGCAGCCGCGGUAAUACGUAGGGAGCGAGCGUUAUCCGGAAUUAUUGGGCGUAAAGGUUGCGCAGGGGGAGGUGCAAGUCAGUGGUAAAAUUGCGGGGCUAAACCCCAUACUGCCGUUGAAACUGCAUACCUUGAGUGCGCGAGAGGUAAGCGGAAUGCGAGGUGUAGCGGUGAAAUGCGUAGAUAUAACGAAGAACCCCGAUUGCGAAGGCAGCUUACUAAACUGUGACUGACAUUGAUGCUCGAAAGUGUGGGUAUCAAACAGGAUUAGAUACCCUUGUAGUC